Molecule: ribosomal RNA, 692 nt
Filed under: uncultured Fibrobacter sp.
Lineage: Bacteria; Pseudomonadati; Fibrobacterota; Fibrobacteria; Fibrobacterales; Fibrobacteraceae
Description: bacterial SSU rRNA
Rfam family: Bacterial small subunit ribosomal RNA
Source: RNAcentral
UUAAUGUCCAGGAGAGUGGCCUUCCGCAUGGAGGGCUGACUAGAGAUUUAUCGGUAUGGGAUGAGCUUGCGUCCGAUUAGCUAGUUGGCGGGGCAACGGCCCACCAAGGCGACGAUCGGUAGCCGGCCUGAGAGGGUGAUCGGUCACAUUGGGACUGAGAUACGGCCCAGACUCCUACGGGAGGCAGCAGUAGGGAAUAUUGCACAAUGGGGGAAACCCUGAUGCAGCAACGCCACGUGUGGGAAGAAGCAUUUCGGUGUGUAAACCACUGUCAUGAGGGAAUAAGGCCCGCCUUCGGGCGGGAUUGAAUGUACCUUGAGAGGAAGCACCGGCAAACUUCGUGCCAGCAGCCGCGGUAAUACGAGGGGUGCAAGCGUUGUUCGGAAUUACUGGGCGUAAAGGGAGCGUAGGCGGAGAUUCAAGCGGAUUGUACAAUCCCGGGGCCCAACCCCGGCUCUGCAGUCCGAACUGGAUCUCUUGGAUAGUUCAGGGGCAGGCGGAAUUCCUGGUGUAGCGGUGGAAUGCGUAGAGAUCAGGAAGAACACCGAUGGCGAAGGCAGCCUGCUGGGGACUUAUCGACGCUGAGGCUCGAAAGUGCGGGUAGCAAACAGGAUUAGAUACCCUGGUAGUCCGCACCGUAAACAAUGCAUACUGGGUGUCCGGGGGUUCCCCCGGGUACCGUAGCCAACGCG